AGUCGACCCCUAAGGCGAGGCCGAAAGGCGUAGUCGAUGGGAAACAGGUUAAUAUUCCUGUACUUGGUGUUACUGCGAAGGGGGGACGGAGAAGGCUAUGUUAGCCGGGCGACGGUUGUCCCGGUUUAAGCAUGUAGGCUGGUUAUCCAGGCAAAUCCGGAUAAUCAAGGCUGAGGUGUGAUGACGAAGCACUACGGUGCUGAAGUAACAAAUGCCCUGCUUCCAGGAAAAGCCUCUAAGCAUCAGGUAACAUCAAAUCGUACCCCAAACCGACACAGGUGGUCAGGUAGAGAAUACCAAGGCGCUUGAGAGAACUCGGGUGAAGGAACUAG
Molecule: ribosomal RNA, 332 nt
Filed under: Klebsiella quasipneumoniae subsp. similipneumoniae
Lineage: Bacteria; Pseudomonadati; Pseudomonadota; Gammaproteobacteria; Enterobacterales; Enterobacteriaceae
Description: partial 23S ribosomal RNA
Rfam family: Bacterial large subunit ribosomal RNA
Source: RNAcentral